RNAcentral lists this long non-coding RNA (323 nucleotides) under Eucalyptus grandis. Its description in RNAcentral is "long non-coding RNA (EGRA_LNC004557)". Lineage: Eukaryota; Viridiplantae; Streptophyta; Magnoliopsida; Myrtales; Myrtaceae. The record is from RNAcentral.
CGAGAACGAUGAUGGCAUACCCAAUUCCGUGGUGGUAUACGUUCCAGUAGACCCGGUACUUGUGAUCCUUUUUCGGCCUCAGGAAAAAGGCGAACAUCUGCCCUCCGAACGUCAUGGAGAAAAUUUGUUCCCACAUUAUCAUUUGACAUAGCACACAAUAACCUCUAACUGGUAUUAAUGACUGUAUGAAGAGCAAAAUUCGAAGUGGUACCUGCAGUGUUGCGAUACAGAAAAGUACUAUCCCGAUUAUACGGUGUGACGUGUACUCGAUGCCUUUAGACUUGGCCCCGAGAUCGAGGCCUAUUGCCCAGCCGGUCACCCCG